This 484-nucleotide ribosomal RNA is filed under the name uncultured bacterium. Its description in RNAcentral is "partial 16S ribosomal RNA". It matches the Rfam family "Bacterial small subunit ribosomal RNA", at positions 30 to 507 of the family's 1533-position model. The record is from RNAcentral.
AUUGAACGCUGGCGGCAGGCCUAACACAUGCAAGUCGAGCGGAUGAAGGGAGCUUGCUCCUGGAUUCAGCGGCGGACGGGUGAGUAAUGCCUAGGAAUCUGCCUGGUAGUGGGGGAUAACGUCCGGAAACGGGCGCUAAUACCGCAUACGUCCUGAGGGAGAAAGUGGGGGAUCUUCGGACCUCACGCUACCAGAUGAGCCUAGGUCGGAUUAGCUAGUUGGUGGGGUAAAGGCCUACCAAGGCGACGAUCCGUAACUGGUCUGAGAGGAUGAUCAGUCACACUGGAACUGAGACACGGUCCAGACUCCUACGGGAGGCAGCAGUGGGGAAUACUGGACAAUGGGCGAAAGCCUGAUCCAGCCAUGCCGCGUGUGUGAAGAAGGUCUUCGGAUUGUAAAGCACUUUAAGUUGGGAGGAAGGGCAGUAAGUUAAUACCUUGCUGUUUUGACGUUACCAACAGAAUAAGCACCGGCUAACUUCGUG